UGGCUCAGACAGUAAAGCGUCUGCCUACAAUGCAGGAGACCCAGGUUCAAUCCCUGG
Molecule: transfer RNA, 57 nt
Filed under: Bison bison bison
Lineage: Eukaryota; Metazoa; Chordata; Mammalia; Artiodactyla; Bovidae
Rfam family: tRNA
About the family: Transfer RNA (tRNA) molecules are approximately 80 nucleotides in length. Their secondary structure includes four short double-helical elements and three loops (D, anti-codon, and T loops).
Source: Rfam by way of RNAcentral